GCCGAGAUGGCCGAGGUAGUCAAGGCGCGUGUCUGAAAAACACGUUAUCUGGGUGCAAUUCCUAGUCUCGGCACCG
Molecule: transfer RNA, 76 nt
Filed under: Candidatus Gottesmanbacteria bacterium RIFCSPLOWO2_01_FULL_49_10
Lineage: Bacteria; Candidatus Gottesmaniibacteriota
Description: tRNA-Phe
Rfam family: tRNA
About the family: Transfer RNA (tRNA) molecules are approximately 80 nucleotides in length. Their secondary structure includes four short double-helical elements and three loops (D, anti-codon, and T loops).
Source: RNAcentral